RNAcentral lists this ribosomal RNA (328 nucleotides) under uncultured eukaryote. RNAcentral describes it as "partial 18S ribosomal RNA". It matches the Rfam family "Eukaryotic small subunit ribosomal RNA", at positions 1470 to 1796 of the family's 1831-position model. The record is from RNAcentral.
CCCUUAGAUGUCCUGGGCCGCACGCGUGCUACACUGACGCAUACAACGAGUAUUUCCAGCUCCGAGAGGUAGCUGGUAAUCAGCAAUAUGCGUCGUGAUGGGGAUUGAUCUUUGGAAUUGUGGAUCAUGAACGAGGAAUGCCUAGUAAGCGCAGUUCAUCAAACUGCGUUGAUUAAGUCCCUGCCCUUUGUACACACCGCCCGUCGCUCCUACCGAUUUCGAGUGGUCCGGUGAAGCGUUCGGACCGUGGCCUUUGGACGGUUCGCCGUCUGUUGGCUGCGGGAAGUUCGUUAAACCUUAUCAUUUAGAGGAAGGAGAAGUCGUAACA